AAACAAAUAUACUUUAUUGUAUUUCAAGUAUAUUUAACUUUGCAAUAGUACAUUACAAAUAUACUUACAAAGGAAUGUACUUUCUUUAAACAUAUUUAAAGUAUGCUUACAACAUAUUUGCGCGUAUUUUUUACAAUUAAACUUUAAACAUACUUCAAAAUAAUUAUACUUUAGUAUAUUUUCUAAAAGUAUACUUUAGAAAAAUAUACUUAAAGUUAAAGUUUUGUGCAAUUUUUAAAGUAUACUAAAUUUAAACUUAUUUUAAAAUGUAUUUUAGGUAUACUUUAUCGGUAUGCUUAAAGUUAUCAUUAUAAUAAUGCACUGACAGUAUAUUUCUAAAAUACAUUAUUUAGUAUUCUUUAGAAACAGUAUAUUUUAAGCACAUUUUGAAAGUAUAUGGGGUGUACAAGUAUAUUAUUUUAUGGAGAAAUAACGUGGGCUUAAAAUUACGAGAGAGCAGUAUGUUCUGUUACAUUUUAUAUUGUAGAUGUAUACAUUUGUGAUAUACUAUUAACAUAAUAAGGUACACUUUAACUUCACUAUAGUCAAGCAUUGGAUAAACCAAUGAACUGUGUUUUACCACAAAAUGACCAUGGUUUUGCUAAUAAUAAUCAAUACACCAAAAAAAAAAAAAACAUGGUUACUAAACUUUUGCCACAAAAAAACAUUCAUUUUCGUAAGGGGAAUAUGAGUGUUUGUUUUUUUGUAGUUUUUGAGUCAAUUGCAUACCGCUUUUAGCUGUACACAUUAAUUAACUUAAACAGUUUUCGUAAAUGCAUUUCAGAGAAAAGUGAAUUCUGAGAUUUGAAUAAUGCAUCUGACGUGUGGGAUGACGUCACGACGCACGUAUUUUGAUUUUUACCAGUCGCUCAAGACAGACGGAUUCAGUCCCAAGAAGCUAAAGUUUUUCAAAGACAUUUGUAGGGAGGACUUUGCAGCUAAUGAUUUCCUAAGCCUGAACCAAAACCUGCCAGACUAAAGUUGAUUUGGGAGAGAAAGACGUUGUAAACUUAAUCAUCUUGACAUUCUUCAAUGAGUAAUUGUUCAAUUUUUAGGCAAAUACUGUACACUUUGAAUGCUGUGAAUAAAACUAUAUUUUAAAUAUA
Misgurnus anguillicaudatus (oriental weatherfish) is the source of this 1106-nucleotide non-coding RNA. The record is from RefSeq and is a predicted model, not a curated record. NCBI's taxonomy places the organism in Eukaryota, Metazoa, Chordata, Actinopteri, Cypriniformes, Cobitidae.